GAUGAACGCUGGCGGCGUGCCUAAUACAUGCAAGUCGAGCGAACGGACGAGAAGCUUGCUUCUCUGAUGUUAGCGGCGGACGGGUGAGUAACACGUGGAUAACCUACCUAUAAGACUGGGAUAACUUCGGGAAACCGUAGCUAAUACCGGAUAAUAUUUUGAACCGCAUGGUUCAAAAGUGAAAGACGGUCUUGCCGUCACUUAUAGAUGGAUCCGCGCUGCAUUAGCUAGUUGGUAAGGUAACGGCUUACCAAGGCAACGAUGCAUGGCCGACCUGAGAGGGUGAUCGGCCACACUGGAACUGAGACACGGUCCAGACUCCUACGGGAGGCAGCAGUAGGGAAUCUUCCGCAAUGGGCGAAAGCCUGACGGAGCAACGCCGCGUGAGUGAUGAAGGUCUUCGGAUCGUAAAACUCUGUUAUUAGGGAAGAACAUAUGUGUAAGUAACUGUGCACAUCUUGACGGUACCUAAUCAGAAAGCCACGGCUAACUACGUG
Molecule: ribosomal RNA, 497 nt
Filed under: uncultured bacterium
Lineage: Bacteria
Description: partial 16S ribosomal RNA
Rfam family: Bacterial small subunit ribosomal RNA
Source: RNAcentral